This 615-nucleotide ribosomal RNA is filed under the name Marinobacter bryozoorum. Its description in RNAcentral is "bacterial SSU rRNA". It matches the Rfam family "Bacterial small subunit ribosomal RNA", at positions 76 to 689 of the family's 1533-position model. The record is from RNAcentral. Lineage: Bacteria; Pseudomonadati; Pseudomonadota; Gammaproteobacteria; Pseudomonadales; Marinobacteraceae.
UUGCACCCAGGCGUCGAGCGGCGGACGGGUGAGUAAUGCAUAGGAAUCUGCCCAGUAGUGGGGGAUAGCCCGGGGAAACCCGGAUUAAUACCGCAUACGCCCUUUGGGGGAAAGCAGGGGAUCUUCGGACCUUGCGCUAUUGGAUGAGCCUAUGUCGGAUUAGCUUGUUGGUGGGGUAACGGCUCACCAAGGCAACGAUCCGUAGCUGGUCUGAGAGGAUGAUCAGCCACAUCGGGACUGAGACACGGCCCGAACUCCUACGGGAGGCAGCAGUGGGGAAUAUUGGACAAUGGGGGCAACCCUGAUCCAGCCAUGCCGCGUGUGUGAAGAAGGCUUUCGGGUUGUAAAGCACUUUCAGUGAGGAGGAAAACCUUACGACUAAUACUCGUGAGGCUUGACGUUACUCACAGAAGAAGCACCGGCUAACUCCGUGCCAGCAGCCGCGGUAAUACGGAGGGUGCAAGCGUUAAUCGGAAUUACUGGGCGUAAAGCGCGCGUAGGUGGUUUGAUAAGCGAGAUGUGAAAGCCCCGGGCUUAACCUGGGAACGGCAUUUCGAACUGUCAGGCUAGAGUGUGGUAGAGGGUAGUGGAAUUUCCUGUGUAGCGGUGAAAUGC